GAUGAACGCUAGCGGGAGGCCUAACACAUGCAAGCCGAGCGGGAUUUGUUGGUUAGCUUGCUAACUAACAAUGAGAGCGGCGUACGGGUGCGUAGCACGUGUGCAACCUGCCUUUAUCUGGGGGAUAGCCUUUCGAAAGGAAGAUUAAUACCCCAUAACAUAUUGAUUGGCAUCAGUUAAUAUUGAAAGCUCCGGCGGAUAGAGAUGGGCACGCGUAAGAUUAGCUAGUUGGUGAGGUAACGGCUCACCAAGGCUGCGAUCUUUAGGGGGCCUGAGAGGGUGAUCCCCCACACUGGUACUGAGACACGGACCAGACUCCUACGGGAGGCAGCAGUGAGGAAUAUUGGACAAUGGGUGAGAGCCUGAUCCAGCCAUCCCGCGUGAAGGACUAAGGACCUAUGGUUUGUAAACUUCUUUUAUACAGAGAUAAACCUACUCUCGUGAGGGUAGCUGAAGGUACUGUAUGAAUAAGCACCGGCUAACUCCGUG
This 489-nucleotide ribosomal RNA is filed under the name uncultured bacterium. Its description in RNAcentral is "partial 16S ribosomal RNA". It matches the Rfam family "Bacterial small subunit ribosomal RNA", at positions 28 to 507 of the family's 1533-position model. The record is from RNAcentral.